Molecule: ribosomal RNA, 397 nt
Filed under: uncultured bacterium
Lineage: Bacteria
Description: bacterial SSU rRNA
Rfam family: Bacterial small subunit ribosomal RNA
Source: RNAcentral
AGUGAACGCUGGCGGCAGGCCUAACACAUGCAAGUCGAGCGGCAGCGCGUCCGACCACCCUCGGGUGGUCGGAUGGCGGCGAGCGGCGGACGGGUGAGGAAUGCAUCGGAAUCUGCCUCGUUGUGGGGGAUAACGUAGCGAAAGUUACGCUAAUACCGCAUACGCUCGAGAGAGGAAAGUGGGGAUCGCAAGACCUCACGUUAUAGGAGCGGCCGAUGUCCGAUUAGCUAGUUGGUGGGGUAAAGGCCUACCAAGGCGACGAUCGGUAGCUGGUCUGAGAGGACGACCAGCCACACUGGGACUGAGACACGGCCCAGACUCCUACGGGAGGCAGCAGUGGGGAAUUUUGGACAAUGGGCGCAAGCCUGAUCCAGCCAUGCCGCGUGCGGGAAGAAGG